This 444-nucleotide ribosomal RNA is filed under the name uncultured bacterium. RNAcentral describes it as "partial 16S ribosomal RNA". It matches the Rfam family "Bacterial small subunit ribosomal RNA", at positions 338 to 795 of the family's 1533-position model. The record is from RNAcentral.
CCUACGGGUGGCAGCAGUGGGGAAUAUUGGGCAAUGGGCGCAACUCUUACCCAGCAAUGCCGCGUGAAUGAAGAAGGUCUUCGGGUUGUAAACUUCUUUAAUUGGGGACGAAAAAAGUGACGGUACCCCAGGCAUAAGCCACGGCUAACUACGUGCCAGCAGCCGCGGUAAUACGUAGGUGGCAAGCGUUUUUCGGAAUGACUGGGAGUAAAGGGGGUGUAGGCGGGGUAGCAAGUUAGAAGUGAAAUACCUAGAGCUCAACCCGGGGGCUGCUUUUAAAACUGUUAUUCUUGAGUGCAGGAGAGGCAAGCGGAAUUCCGAGUGUAGCGGUGGAAUGCGUAGAUAUAAGGAGGAACAUCAGUGGCGAAGGCGACUUGCUGGACUGUAACUGACGCUGAGGCACGAAAGCGUGGGGAGCAAACAGGAUUAGAUACCCCAGUAGUC